Molecule: ribosomal RNA, 393 nt
Filed under: uncultured bacterium
Lineage: Bacteria
Description: partial 16S ribosomal RNA
Rfam family: Bacterial small subunit ribosomal RNA
Source: RNAcentral
AUACGUAGGGUGCGAGCGUUAUCCGGAUUCAUUGGGUUUAAAGGGUGCGCAGGCGGCCGUGCAAGUCAGCGGUGAAAGCCCGGGGCUCAACCCCGGAAGUGCCGUUGAUACUGCGUGGCUGGAAUGCGGUCGAGGCGGGCGGAAAGCGGCGUGUAGCGGGGAAAUGCGUAGAUAUGCCACAGCACGCCGAUAGCGGAGGCAGCUCGCCAGGCCUGCAUUGACGCUCGGGCACGAAAGCGUGGGGAUCGAACAGGAUUAGAUACCCUGGUAGUCCACGCCGUAAACGAUGGGCGCUCGUCGUCGGCGGCAGACAGUCGGCGGCCAAGCGAAAGCGAUAAGCGCCCCACCUGGGGAGUACGGUCGCAAGGCUGAAACUCAAAUGAAUUGACGGGG